RNAcentral lists this ribosomal RNA (394 nucleotides) under uncultured Anaeromyxobacter sp. RNAcentral's name for it is "bacterial SSU rRNA". It matches the Rfam family "Bacterial small subunit ribosomal RNA", at positions 67 to 447 of the family's 1533-position model. Lineage: Bacteria; Pseudomonadati; Myxococcota; Myxococcia; Myxococcales; Anaeromyxobacteraceae. The record is from RNAcentral.
CGAGAAAGCCCGCAAGGGUGAGUAAAGCGGCGCACGGGUGCGUAACACGUGGGAAAUCUGCCCUAGAGUCCGGAAUAACUCGCCGAAAGGCGUGCUAAUGCCGGAUGAGACCACGGGAGCCUCGGCUCCUGCGGGAAAAGGUGGCCUCUGUAUACAAGCUAUCGCUCUAGGAUGAGCCCGCGGCCUAUCAGCUCGUUGGCGGGGUAAUGGCCCACCAAGGCUACGACGGGUAGCUGGUCUGAGAGGACGAUCAGCCACACUGGAACUGAGACACGGUCCAGACUCCCACGGGAGGCAGCAGUGGGGAAUCUUGCGCAAUGGGCGAAAGCCUGACGCAGCAACGCCGCGUGUGUGAUGAAGGUCUUCGGAUCGUAAAGCACUGUCGCGAGGGACG